UCCCAGAACACUUUGAUUCAUCUACCAAAACGCCUCGUGGAAUUGUACCAAAAGCAUUUAUUUGAAAUCUAUUUCCAGAGUCCUUAUAGCAUAGCACCCCCUGACUUGCAGUGAAAAAGACACACAUCACAGCUAUGACAGCCCUGACUGUCCAGUGACCUUCCACACACAAAGCACUUUCAGCGACAGCUCUCGUUUGGCCAGAGCCAUUGUUCCCAAUUUCACAGAUGAGGAAAGAGACACCGAGGACAGUGGCAGGUGGAGAAUGGAGCCCAGCUCUCUGGAUUCCAAGUCCUAGCUCUGCCUGCCACUGUAUGCUGCCCCCCACCCCCAACAUAAGAGCGAACACGAUGAACUCAUCUAGGACCUGGGGGUAGGACUAAUUCUGGUUGGGGUUUAUCAUUCCCAUAGGAGCCCCACCUGGUUCUUCCAGAGACUUUCUGAACAGAGGAUCCGAGUGGCCCCACUAACCUAGACUCGCUCCCUAACUGUGAGGGGAAGAGCUAUUUCCCCAAGUGCAGGUCUGGACCUCCUGGGACCUCUAAGGAAGGUAAUGAAAAAUCUAAUUAAUUAACAAGAAAAAAAUUCUUCCUUACUACUUUUAAAAAAACGUGGCUAUAAGUCAGUCUUUUAAAAUUUGUUUAAUUAAGACAAUUUAAACAUGGAAAUUCUUUUAAAGAAUUUCGUACAUAUUAUUCCAGACCUAUGACUAUGUAUGCACAGAGAUGUGGCUGCAUAAGUGUGCAUAUGGAAAGAGUUUUCUUUACCCAUUUCAUACAUCAUUCUGCCACUUGUUUUUUUCAUGGAACAAUGUAACUCAGACAGCUUCCUAUAGAUAUGUGUCACUCGGUUUAAUGUGGCAUGGUGAUUUAUAGUUUGGAUGUACCAUAGUAUAUAAAAUAUUCCCCUACUGGUGGGUAUUUAGGUUGUUUCUGCUGUUCACUUUUACAAAUAGUACUUUUACAUAUAAAUCCUUUUACAUAUGACUGUGUACAUGUGCAAGAAGCCCUGAAGGAUACAUUUCUAAAAAGGAAAAUUGUUGGAGCAAAGUCUAUAUAGAUUUUACAUUUUUAUAAAUACUGUUAAAUUGUCCCUCAGGAAGGCUGAACUCACUUUUCUGUUGACUCUUCUCAUCCUUUUUUUUUUUUUUUUUUUUCUCUUUCUUUCUUAAUUUUCUAGUCUCUUCCUAUUCGCUGGGCCACUUUUAUCCUAUGUUCUAAUUUUAAGUCUUCCUCCUCCCACACCCAUUUAUCAGAAAGCCCUGCGGGAUAUACCUUCAAAUAUGUCCGAAGCACAAGCCCUUCUUACCCUUUCCCCUGCCAGCACCUGGUGGAAGCCACUGUCAUCUAGCUUCCUACACAUCCCCCUGUAUUUGCUUUUGCCUCCUUCAAACUAUUGUCAACACAGCAGCCACGGUGACCUUGCUAACACUGAGUCAGACAGAGCGGCCUUCUGGUCAACACCCCCCAGUGCUCCUCCGUUCACUCAGUGCUGCCACACGGUGGCCUCCAUAGCCCACUCGCCUCCCUGAUCCACUCUGCUCCAGACAUCAACCUUCCACCAGCACUCCACGCCUGCCCCCACUUCGGGUCUUCGUUCCAACUGUCCCCUCCCUCCAGGCAUUGCUUGACCAACUCCUUCAUCCCCUUCAAGUCAGCUCAGGCUGCACCUUCUCAGCAAAGCCAUCCUGACACUUAAUUCAUCUUGCAAACGCCCCCUCUGGCUCCCUGUCUUCUUUGCUCGCUUUUCUUUUCCCUCAGCAUUUACAACCCUCUUACCUACUAUGUAUCUAACUUUUUAUCAUGAUCAUUGUCUCUAUCCUCCCCCCACGUGAAUGGAACAACAAGAUAAGGGAGCCUUGUAGUGAUGUUAUAGCUCUGUAUCUUGAUGGUGAUGCCUCCGCUAAAGUACAUGUGUGACAAAACUGCAUAUAACUACACAUACACCAGUGCAUGCAUAACUGGAGAAACCCAAAUAAGCUCUAUUGACAGUAAGGCAGGCUGGGUGAGUGUAUGAGGUCCACUGGACUUCCCUGUACAUUUCUUUUUUUUUUUUUCUGACUUUUUAGGGCCACACCUGCGGCAUAUGGAGGUUCCCAGGCUAGGGGUCCAGUCGGAACUACAGCUAACAGCCUAAGCUGCAGUCACAGCAACACAGGAUCCGGGCUGCGUCUGUGACCUACACCACAGCUCACAGCAACACUGAAGGCUUAACCCACUGAGCGAGGCCAGGCAUUGAACCUGCGUCAUCAUGGAUACUAGUCAGAUUUGUUUCCGCUGAGCCACUAUGGGAACUCCUUCCCUGUACAUUUCUUUGAAACCUCCUGUAAAUCUAUAAUUAGUUCAACAUGAAGAGUUAAGAAAAAUUGCAAGCAGAAAUCCAGGCCAGGUAGGAAGUGCCUCUUAUCUCAGCCCAGAGAUGCUUCUGCUUCCUUGACUUUAUGAAAGGGAUGUUUGCCCCUUGGGUUACUCUCUUUAUUUUCCAUAUACCUCGCCCCUCUUUACUUGAGCUGGUUCUAAAAGUUUCAAUCACUUUUCAGAAGAAAGUCUGGAAAUACUUACUCAGAUGAACAUUACUCCUGUGGGGUUCUGAGAAAGUUACUCAGCUUUCUGUUCUUCAGCCUUCCCUUUGGAAAUCUGGACCAAUGGCAUCUGUCCCCUUCCUCACAGGUAUGCUGAGGUUAACAAAUCCACAGAAGUUCCAAUGAAGUCCUGAAAUCAAGGCACGAGUGAGAAUCCCCUCCAGCGAGCGCCCUACCCAUUCUCCUCACUGCACAAGUGUUCCUAUCACACUGUCUCCUUGGUCAGGUGUCAGCUCAUUCUAGAAGGACGUGAGGUUCUAUAUAAGCUACAACAUUGCUGACCACUGGAUAACUGGUAGUUAAUAAUACUACUAACUAUUCUGGGUCUGUCCUGGAUUUAUAUCCUUUCCCAAAUUUCAAAUUUAGUCAAAGCAAGUGUGAUUUUUCAAAAGCUACCUUAAAAUGCAUCAACGUACUGUUUAGUAGACAGACUUUUUAAAAUAUACAUACUCAGCUACUUUAAAGCAUAUCCCCUCUGAAUUUGGCCAAUAGAUUUUCAAACCAUUUUGUGCAUGUCGAUGUCAAUAUUUUGGCUAAAUUCUCCCCUCAAUACGUCCCCCUCAUACAUGUUCCUCUCUUUCUCUUCAUCACAGUAACCUUUCCUUUUCAUUCCCCUACUUCCUCUGGGACAUAAAUUUGCCGUGUCACUUCUAUUCUUACACUCCCCUGAAGUAUUUGCUGGUUGCGCUAACCAGCACUGGCAGCUGGGGUUGACCACUGAAAUCCCUGCAUGAUUGUUUCCAAAAGGUCAUAAUAAACAUUUCUUGACAUGUGCCUCAUGGCCUAGAAUCAACAAGGAGGGCAGUGUCAGCCCUGCAAGAACUAUACCACAUCGAGCCUUUGUACAAAUUAGAAAAAGGUGACCUCCCUGGGUAGACAAAGGGCUGAGUCAUGGCUGAAUUUCAAUCUUGACUUGCCCACAUAGGGCAUGCCCUCCCCAGCUGAACCCAGAAGCGUGAGACCAAGUUCAGGCACACAAGCUCAGCUCCCUCUGAUCAUUGCCCUGACUCCAUCAUUGACUUGCAGUGUCUCUAAGAGCAAGCUCUUGACCCUUCUGUGACACAAUUUUUCCCUGGGUCACAGUUAAAAUUAUAAAAUACUUAGACACAAGGUGUUACAAGUUUUUUUUUUUUUCUUUUUUUCACCGUGAUACCAAUGCUCAUUGGGAGAUCAGCAUUUCACUCAGCUCUAGGACAAGCUCAGACUGUUUGGGUUUCCUCUAAUGAGGGUGGGAACUCUGGCUAUUUUCAUCCUUGUUCCAUUUUCCUCUUCCAGUGCAGUGGUCUGUGCCCAGCAUUUACGACCUGCUGGCGGGGGCCUGAGGCGCACAUUUUCUUGAGUUGAACAAGAACAUUUAACACUCUCUGUCUGUCAGUUUGCAGUGGAACACACCCCCCCCCCCAGAUUUUCUACACGAUGUGAUGCCAGCUCUGGACACUUCUCACUCAGUGUUCAUCCCUGCCAGCUAGUCUGAAAAUUGGAACCAGAAACACUUGACAAAUCACUGGCCACAUUAUGCUUACAGGUGGUGACCUAUUGCUGUGCCGCUGCUGCUUAUUCAUGAAACCAGAGGUUAAGACUCCAUUUCUGAGAUGUAAGGUAGGGAAAGCCCCACAUAAAGCACUAGCGUUGGACAGAAUACCACAUAGACAAUUUCCCACUGAAAUGCCGGUUAUUAGAAGUCAUGUGGAGUCAGGAGUUGCCAUGGAAUCCAUUUGUUUCUAAACCAGCUCCUCCUACUGGAAUAGUUUUUCAUUAUCCUGUCUUUCUCACUGGGGGGAGGGGGAGAGGGACAGAGAGAGACAGACAGACAGACAAGCAGAUAUGCAGAUGUUAUCUGAUAUAAAACUAUGUUAUAAUUCUAAAACACUCAAGCCCUAAAAUGAAUAAUAAAUGUAAACAUUUAAGAAAGGUUCAUAUCAGCCUUAACACAUGCUUAUAUCACUGUCUGGUUUGGAGUGAAACAGUCACAUUGCCAUCACACGACUUCUGAUUAUUUAGGGAGACUAUGCGGUGGUGUAUCACAUGACAUUUAUCUUCACAAACAAGUUAUCAGAUCUCCAGGAGUGAAAAUAAAUAUCAAAGCAGAUCUAAACCACCAUAGGCUGCACACUUGUUUUUCCUGUUUUCUCCUAUGUAUCAUUUUUACUUAGAUUCUUAACCAGAUCAGUACAGUUUUCCCUGUGAAACUACUGCCAGGAUCAAUCUAUCCCCUUAUUCCUCCAAGUUAUUUGCUUAAAUUAUGAGAAGUGAUUGGCUGGCAUGUGUUAAUGCUUGAAUUAUUUUUUGGUAAAGUUUCCACAUAUUUAUAGGUAAAAUACAAAAACAAGUUGUUCAAAUAUCAACUUGGGACAACUGAAUAUCAAAACAUUUAUGGUUAGCCCACUAUUUUUAACAUAUGUACAAUACAAUUGACUGUAAUUAGUCAGGAGAUUGGUUGGAUGAAGACACAUUAAAAUUAUAUUUGUAUAUUUAUAUUUCAUGUUUUGCACUAAAGAAUAUUAAUUGUUUCAAUGAGGGGGGAAAAGUGUUGGUAGAUGACUCUAGAGCCUCAAACCUGUAUUUCUGACCAUCUCCACUUCCCAGCAUUCUGGUGAAAACCUCUCCCCCCAG
Molecule: long non-coding RNA, 5194 nt
Filed under: Sus scrofa (pig)
Lineage: Eukaryota; Metazoa; Chordata; Mammalia; Artiodactyla; Suidae
Description: lncRNA (ENSSSCG00000062113.1)
Source: RNAcentral